UCCGAUCACCUCAAUCAGCACUGGACAGUUCAGAAAGACGCAAGAACUUGGUGCUGACACUGAUGUACAUGGUAGAAAACUUGAGAAAGUGGUAAGAAAAAAAGCAAUAAAAUCUCC
Molecule: long non-coding RNA, 117 nt
Filed under: Chinchilla lanigera (long-tailed chinchilla)
Lineage: Eukaryota; Metazoa; Chordata; Mammalia; Rodentia; Chinchillidae
Description: lncRNA (ENSCLAG00000025763.1)
Source: RNAcentral